AGCAACGUUCACCUUUACCUUAGAUCCACCUGCAGGAGCUGCCCUAUUGGAGCUGUGGAGACCUGCUCAGGCUGCAGCAAGCUGCUCAUUCAGCAACGGCAAACAUGGAAAAGGACACGAUCGGUGGACAUCAGUAGAUCAGUAGAAAGAUGAUUUGCAGAGUUGACCACAAGAUUCACAUGGACCACAUGAGAGUGUACAGAAUGGACCUCACCCUGAAGGUAUGGACAAGCUUCUCAUCACUCUCUUACUGUCUCAUCAUCGUGUUGACUGGAUGGCAUGCCUGAGGACACGAGACAGCCAGACAUAGGCACUGGCAGACCUGCAGGUUGACUUCUCAGUGGUAUGGCAGGUCUAAGUGUAUCUUAGAGGAUCAUGACCCUCCCAGACUGUGACCUGGAAAAACAGGACAGAGGAGCUGCAACAGGACAUGGAAUGUGUCUUUUGUUUUCUUUCACUUUUUUGUUGAAAAAAGUGGGAAAUGUUCUCUGCACUUGCCAGAGCAAAAGAAAACAAUUUCUUGGCAAUGAAUGAGGUAGGGUUUACAUAGCAAACAUUAUGUGACUGUAACACAAAUUAUAAAAGCUCAGGCAGCGCUCUGUGUUGUAACUGAGGAUGCAUUAUUCUUUCUCUUUGUGAUUGUCGUCUUCUAAGCCACUGAAAAUGUGAUUUAUUUUAAGAGCAGCACUUUUUCUUUGUGAACAUAUUUUUGGUGUUAGCACAGCCACUUGUCUGCGUUAUCUAUACAUACCACAUUAUAUAUGUUCGCUAUGCUCUGGUACCAUGUGGAACCAAUUGUUUCUUAAUAAAAAAACCCCAAUGUGAAUGAU
This is a long non-coding RNA of Micropterus salmoides (largemouth bass), 830 nucleotides long. RefSeq lists it as uncharacterized. Lineage: Eukaryota; Metazoa; Chordata; Actinopteri; Centrarchiformes; Centrarchidae. The record is from RefSeq and is a predicted model, not a curated record. The transcript is spliced from 4 exons.